Molecule: long non-coding RNA, 4249 nt
Filed under: Olea europaea subsp. europaea
Lineage: Eukaryota; Viridiplantae; Streptophyta; Magnoliopsida; Lamiales; Oleaceae
Source: RNAcentral
AUUUUUUCCUUCUAAGAAUAUUUAUAUCAAACAUAACCUUAAGACCCAUGUUUCAAGUACUCCAAUCCGAGCACCAUUUGAUUGUAACUAACAAAUACUCUAUAAAAAGACAAGGCCAAGAACGCUAAUAUAACUCAGUUUUUGAAUGAAAAUAUUCCAAAUAUUGGCCCAAUUAUACCCAUUAAGAAGAAGUCUAUUGUUACUUUUCAAUUAGGCCCAAAAUCGUUGAUGAAAUAGUCCACAUUUGGGCAUCUCCAGUUCUUGAAGCAUCAAAGAACAGAUUUCGUCAUUUUGCUUACAGAUCAAAUCCUCAAUCAGCUGCAUACAGGUAAAAUCACUACGAGUUUAUUUUCGGCUUUUGCAUAUGUCAAAUUCGGAUUUCGAAGAGAAAUUUAUUUCAUUUUUAUGCAUAAAUUUCCUCGGAUUCUUACAUGUAAAAGAUCUAGGGUUUUAAAUUCUAAUACGUACUGACUUAACUAAAAUAAUUCACUUUGAAUCUGAAUUUGUGAACAACGAAAUAUUAUCUCAAGGUUUAAUAUGAUUCUCUUGGGAUUUUAAUUUAGUUACUUCACUUGAAUCGAAUUUCCAGCAAAAUUUUAGAAUUUUUUUUUUGUAUUUUUCAUAUAGAGAUUUAACGACUAAAUCUAACAUAUACACUUUUGCAGCAUAAAUAGAUGGGGUUUAUAAUGGAGUUUGCGGAAAAUUUGAUACUUCGGCUGAUGGAGGAUCCUAAGGAGAGGGACAAGAAGUUUAGGGAGCAUUUGUACAAUUUGAAGGACAGAUGCCAGAAGACCAAGGAAAUGUGGAGCCUGCCUCUGCGUCCUUACGGCUUCUGGAAUUUUGAUCGCCAUAAUGCACAAAUUUUUUGGGAUUCUCAGAUUAGUCAAGUUCCAGGUCGCCGUGACCCCUAUGAUGACCUCCUCCAGGACCCUUACAUUGAUACUACUGCUUCCUCUUCCUCCUCAAAGUAAUUGGUGAGUUUCUUCCUAUUUCAUGACGUGGCCCAAUUGUGGGGUUGUGCAUAUGUGUUCUGUGAAUUUGUAGUUUUUAGGAGUUAGGACUAUUUGUCAUCAUUUUGGAUUUCUUGAUUAAUAUGGCAUUGGCUGAAUACAUGCAUAUGUAGAUUAUAGACCCAUAUGUACCAAGCAUAUAUUCAGGGCCAAUAUGAGGCUCUUAAACAUAAUUCGCCUAGUUAAUAUGAGGUCCUUAAACAUAAUUUUUUUUACAAGAGUAGCAAUACUUAGAAAAGGGAGACAAAAAUAUGUCACAAGAGCAAGUUGAGACUACUUGUCAACAGUUGAAAAAGAACCUUUGAUUAAAUAUCGAUUUUUACUGGAAAGAUAUGAUCUCUAUACCAGUUUUCCUCCUUGGCUCAGCUACUUAAAGGAUCAACAUCCCAAUAGGAAGCCUAUUACAACUAUAUUUAAGUUAUGUCUUGAGCACAGGUUCGCCAAACUCCAAAGACUAGUCAAUCCAAGGUUGGAAAAAUUAUCCUUCUAUUGUUUUAAUAUAUUUUGGCAGGUUCAAUUUACCACUAGUUGAUCUCCAGGAAUUCUAGCGGUGUUAUUUCAAAGUUUUAUACAAGCUCAUCAUAUACAACCAUGGCUAGUGAGGAUGGAGAAUAUUCUAAAGGAAAAGCAGAAAUUGAAAACUUCUUAAGUUCCUUAAUAGAGCACUAACACAUUCAUUACACUAAACUGAAGAUUUAAUAGGUGCUACCAGCACACAAUAGAGAAAAAAACAGAGUAAUAAAAUCAAAAUGUAACAAAGUAGUAAUUAAGCUUCUAACUUGGUGUUCUUUAUACAGCAUACAUUUAUUGAAUAUAAAGCAGUAGAGAUACUGCUUUGCAUAACGUUUUUCCAAAUAACUUGAAUUGAAGAUGAAUAAUAUUAUGAUUGGCUCUAGCUAAACACAAAAACCAUCAAGGAUCAAAGAACAAGAGAUUAUGUUAGAGAAGGACAAGUGAAAUUAUCAGAAGAAAUAGAGUGGCUUAGAAAAGUCACUUUGAACAACUACAACCACUUUUAUGUAAGGUUCAUCGAAAUAGGAGUUUCUAUUCUUACAUUUCCAGAAUAGACGUCAAACUUGAAGAGCAAUCUCAGAAUUAUCGACUUGCGUGCAAACUUAACCAAUCAGCAUCUUUUAAAAAAAUAAACGCAGCAAAGAAGGAUAGCUGAGCAUAAAAAUGUAAAAAAAUGAGAAGACAAGGAUAAUAGGUUCCCCCCAAAUAACAAGUGUGAAAACCAAUGUCAAGUAGUCCUUAAUCCCACUGCAAAACUCUCUUACUCCGUCAAUGCAUUUUAAAUUAUCCAAUCAAUCGUACCCCCAUCCACCCACCUAAAAUGCUUUCUGCUCACUUCGUAAAAAUUUAGAAUAGUUGUGGGCUAUUUUCAUGAACCCAUCUUGUUCUUUUUCCGUUUAUUCAAUACCAAUUAGCAGAUUAAUAUUUUUAGCACUAGCAAAAGCCUACAAUUUAUGUAACUCAGAAGGAAAAAAAGAGCAGCUUUCAGGGGAAAUUGAUUUAAUUUUAAAUGGAUCAACUGCAAAAAUUCAAAUACCCAAAUAGAAAACACAGAGAAUAUCUAUUUCGAUUUGUUGAUGGCACAAAUCAGUAUCCUAAGCAAACUGUUGAAGCACAUGGAAAAGUAACAAUACUUCUUUCAAAACUCUCCAAAGCUAUACUUUACAAUAGAGUGUUGGAUCGUUAAAGACAAACUUUAGUAUUUAUAUUAUGAACGUAUUAGAAAUGAGAAUUUUCAGAUAGAUACACGUUCAUACUAUAAUAGGUAAAAUGAGAAGUGAUGAUAUCCAUUGAAAAAAAGGUAAAGUCAAUUGAGCCUAGAUGAAGAAUGACCAAGAUGGUUGGGGCGAUCAUUGUGUGACUUGGAUAAAAUUUUAUUCACAAGAACGAUUUGAUAUUAGUAGAAUGUAUUAAAAAGGAGAGGUAGAUUAAAUAAAUGAACAUUGUUUGAUGUAGAUUUACAAAAUUUCAUUUCACUAUACAUCUAGGUAGACUUAGAAAUAGAUAAGAGGUAGUCGUGUAAAUAUGAUUCAUGUAGUCUACUCCGAGUUUAGUUUAUAUAUUUUGUGUAGGUCAUUUCCUCAAAAAAGGAUUCCAUGUGUAAUAUCUUUUUUUCUGCGAGUGAAAUUGGGAUUAUCAGUAGCAUUUUAGGGCCAAUGGAUAGUUAAUGAUUUAAUUCCAUAAAAAUCUCUACUAGUUGUUGACAUGUUAAAACACCUUUUGCAUGCAGUACUGUCAAGUUCAUAUUUUAAUAUUUUCUUCGAUAAUAUUCGAUCACUUGGGUAAUUGAGAUGCAAGAAUAUUAAUCAUACUCCAAUUAAGUUGAGAAAUAAUAACUCUAUUAACUACAUGGAACUGAUAGUAAAAGAGAUAGUAAAUGCAAGAACUUUGAUGCAUUUAUAUGUUAUACGCAAUGUCAUAAAAUACCUCAUGGCUUAUUUCCUAUCUUAGGGGAAAAAUAUUUUCUAGUGCGUUCAAUCUUCAUAUAAUGGUGAAGAAGAUAUUGGAUUGAUGUUGAUUUUAAUUGCAUUGUCGUUUGAACAUUCUGAUUGACAUUAUUGGGUAAAAUACUUUAUCAACUCUGCCGUUUAUCCCAAUCCUAAUUGCAUCCCCGAACUAUGAGCUUGAAAUUUGAAUAUAAAGAUUAUAUAAUGCUUCACUUUCGUGGGUUGGUUCAAUUGCUUGGUGUUGCUCAACUAGGCGGGUAGCAUGUUUUAGGACACAGAGGAUCUAUUACAAUGUAAAGUACAUAUUCAUGAAGGAUAAAGGGGAAAAUCUUGUUUCCUUUUUGGUAAAUUUAGGUGAAAGGUGCUAUGGUUUCAUGAUAUUAAGGGUAAAAUAUUUAAUUGCUUUGCUCUGUGCAGGAAGGACCGCAGCAGUUCGUGGAUGGUAGAGCUUUCACGGGAAGUGUAGCUGUUUUAUCAUUUUAUGUGUCCUUUUUCUUAGCAAUGUCUGGUUUGAAACUCAGGCAUUUGUUCAGAAAUCAAAAUAAGUAUCCAUGUUAUUAGUUUCGUACGGAAGAUUUCUCCGUAAAUCGGGCUUUCGAAGCACUUUCAUAAAUUGUGUUAAAGGGAGUUCAGUAUAUCUUGUACUAGAAGAUUUCGUAUUGUGUGAGAUCUUUGUUUGUGUCAAUGACUAAAUUUAAACAAAUAAUUGUUUUAAUCGUUUUAAGGGUUUAAUACAUUGCUAGCGUGGUUUGAAAAUCAAAUGUUUCCAUUGCUUCAACC